Non-coding RNA from Lupinus angustifolius (narrow-leaved blue lupine), 93 nucleotides. NCBI's taxonomy places the organism in Eukaryota, Viridiplantae, Streptophyta, Magnoliopsida, Fabales, Fabaceae. The record is from Rfam.
AGAGUAGAUUCGAGCCGGGAUGACUUGCCGGCAAUCUGCAUCAUAAAAAUCAUAUGUUAUUGCAGGCAGGUCAUCCCGUCUCACAUUUGCUCU